Molecule: long non-coding RNA, 4157 nt
Filed under: Lynx pardinus (Iberian lynx)
Lineage: Eukaryota; Metazoa; Chordata; Mammalia; Carnivora; Felidae
Source: RNAcentral
GCUACAGAAGAGAAACUAUGAGAAUUUUAUUGGGAAUGCACAUUAUCGACCAAAUGAUAAAAAAACUUGAUUUCCUGUUUCGGGUAAGAAAGGUAAGCAUAUAUGAUCUCUUGAUUUUAGUUAAUUGAAAAUAAACCAUCUAGUUCAUUCAGUAGAAUAUAAAGUAAAAUUAUUUUUGAUUUUUAAAGUGUUCUUAAGACCUCCAGUGCUCAGGGUCUCCGGAUAUCCAUGAUGAUGGUAACUAAUAACAAUAGUACCGACUGGAAUUUAGUAAGCAUUUAUUUCGUGCUCAGCCUGGAAGUGUUUUUAUAAUCAUGACCUCAUUUAAUCCUUCCCACAUGCGGGGGGGGGGGGGACAUUAGGCCAGGGAUUAGCAAACCUCCACCUGCUUUUAUCUGCAAAGUUUUACUGGCACACAGUUGUGUCCAUGCCUUUCCAUAUAGCUGAUGGCUUCUGAGCCACAUCAGCAGAGUGGUAGUUGUGACAGAGAGCGCAUGGCCUGCAAAGCUGAGAAUAUUUACAUUUACAUUCUGGCUCUUUACAGAAAAUGGUUGCUGGGUUGGGAGUUCCUGUGCACCCUUUACGGAUGAGGGUACCGAGACUUGGGUCGCAUCCCACUCUUAGUUCUGUCCUAGCAUGACCCAAAGCCUGGGCCCCAACCCUCAUGCUUAAGAGCUUGUUCAAAACCUCGGUGCAUCCUUAUCUGUUCAGGGAGGGGAGCGGGACAGGAGCGCGGAGGUGCAUUUUGACAAUGUGGUUCACAUGGCGAAUGUAUCUAACUGUAGAUAUGCAGAAGACUCCAGCGGGACCCUCAGAGUUGUGUUAAUUCCGUUGAGUUAAUUCCGAGUUUGGCCACAGGGCCUGAUGUCCGCACAAGUUACUCUAGACCUCAUUUACCAAUAAAUUGAAUGACAAGAGCUGGGUUUAUGGACAGAUUUGAGUUCUCUCCCAGAAACACUUUGCUUGUCUAACGCCCACCAUGUCCUCCCGGUCCCGUGGCAGGAUGUCUCCCUCUUGUUUGCAUGUGGGGCCCAUCGGGCUGAUGCAGGUCUAUGCUCCUUUCUCCCCUCACUUAGUGAAAGUAGAAGGAGAAGGAAGUGUCGUCGCAGGAGCGGGAUUCAGCCUCCUCUCCAUGAAAACAAAACAAAUCGUUGAUGGAUCAUAAGGCACAGCUAAUUUGUAACAGGUUACUUGCACUGUAGGGGCACAGUCUGUCAGUCACAGAGGAUGCCACUGUCCUGUUGGUCCCGCCCCGGCCUCUUUCUGUAACCUCUGAGCAUCUCUGCUUGCAUUUCCUCUGCCUGGAACGUCCUUCUGCAUUCUGGGUGCCAGAUGACCUCUCUCUGAUACGCGGGACCAGUUAACAUCAUUUCCUCAGGACGUCUGCCGGGAACCAGGGACUUCCCUGGCCGCUGCCCCUUGCUUGUGCAGUUCACCCCCACGUCUGCCCCUCUUACCUGUGUGCCCCAGUUCACUGCUAGCUCCGCUUGAGAGGAGAUUGCUUUGUUCACUGCCUCGCCCGCUGCUGGGACCAUCACUGAUCAAACCCGUUAGAUGUUGGCUGAACAGAUAAUGUUAUCACCUUUCGGUUUCUUGUGGUGGCCUUUGCCAGGCUUCGUGUAACUGAUGCAAAUGCUGAUUCUUGGUGAAAUCCUCUUCGUUAAAUCACUGUUCAGAAUAUAGUAGUAUUCUCUGGGGUGGCGCAGCGUUGUGUAGAGUCCUGGUACUUUCAUUGCAACGAUUUUUUUUUUAAGGUUUAAUUUGUUAACCUCCACCCCCAUCGUGAGGCUCGAACUCACAACUGGGAGAUCGAGUCACAUGCUCCACCCACUGAGCCAGCCAGGCGCCCCUUCGUUGCAACAUUUGAGCUUAAGGGGAACUCCGUGCAUUUCUAGAUCCCUUUGGUUCUGUUUAUUACACUUCUUUAUUAAAAGGAAAAAGAUUUUCCCGAGCUGUUUUCAGUUUUAUCUUGAUCCGCUCUCUUGAACCUUUUCCCCCCCUAGGACCCGAUGGAUGUGUGUUCUGUCCAUGAAAUUGAGUGAGUCCAUCCUUUGAGAAGGCAGAUGGCGGAAGCUCGUGAAAUAAGCUGUGACCGUGCCGUGCAUGUAACAUACCAGGAACACUACGGUUUUGUAAAGUUGUUCUGUUAACUUUUGUACCAAAUAGCAAUAAAAACCAUAGUUGGAACAGUUGGGUUGUACACAAAUGGAGACUGCAAAUCUCUAUUUUGUCCCUGAAUAAUAUUUUUUUUAGAGUUGACCAAAUAAGGAGUCUUUUGCAUACUUGAGCGCUGCUGAACACAAACCAUCCGGGUGGGGGGGGCGGGGGGGGGAGAGUCUAUAACGAACGCUUGCACCUCAGGUAACUCUGUACAUACGUAAGUUCGAAACCUGCUUGUUCAGAUACUGUGCGUCCCCUUUCUCUCUCCUGUAGCUCAUCCCCAUGAGCAGCUCCUGCUGUUUGUGUUCUUUCAUGGAAAAUGUAUGUUUAAAAAAAAAAAAAAUUCCCGAUGAUUUGUAUUAUGUUAAAUCCUCCUCAGUGCGUCGUCUUAACAAAAUUGUGAACGGAAGUAUCGACCCUCUGUGACUAUGUGCUGCAUAUACUGAGGUCAGCCAUUCUGAAUUCGGUGCCCUUUCAUUGCAAGUUUCAGUCUGUCAACUGAGGAAGAGUCCCGAUCUGCGACCCUUUUCUGAGAGCAGCCUGUGCCCCGUAGGGUUUUUAAGCGGGCGUGUCUACAGAGAAGUGCGUCUGUCCUCUUCAGGACAGCCCCAUAUCCAGUAAACAUACCAAAUUCUAUGUGGAGUUACUUACUUUCUAUCAAGUUCGUCACUUUUGUUGGAAAAUUCAGGGUUUUUUUUGGCUUUCGCUUGAAUUGGUAUGUAAAAAACCUGAAAUGCUGAAUUACACACGUGAAUUUCAUAUAUUGGGAGCAGUUUUAAAGGACGUGAAAGCGUUUGGGUAAAUUUUAGGUUUGUAUCUGGAAGUCCUGGUGUGCCUGGCCUUUGGGUUAACCGUGGACGUACACGAGUUAAUUGUAGACACGUUGAUUCUGAAUAAGGAACUGCCUGCCGAGCCUUCUGGUAAUGGGGAGGGUGCGAUCUGGUUCUUGACCUCAGUUGUCUUCCCGGUUUUGGUUGUGUUGAGCAACCAGAUGUAGUUUGGGUUUUAAAGUGAGGACGGCCACCAGCUGGCUUACUACUAGAUGUUUUAGACUUUUGUUCCCUUCCACAUGCUGUCCGUGGCUGAGUUUAUUCAGCAGUACGUGGGUUUAGCAACCACAAGGUAUUUUAUUAAGAAAACUGUUUCAAAAAUAAAUUUGCACUGUUAAGUUUUCUUGCCCUGCCCUUCUGCAUUAGAGCGAGAGUAAAGUCCUACAAGAAUCCUGAUUUUUUUUUGUUUUGUUUCAUUAUGCAACACGAAGCGUACUUGACCGAGAAGUCUUAACUCCCGUGGGAAAGGGGGACCUGAUUGGUCUGUUGGCCUUGUAGUGAAGUGCUUUGUAUCAGGAGAGACUAGUACACUAUCCACCAUUUUUCCUGUUCACAAGCUGAGCCAUAUGUACAUAAUCUAGAUUUUUGUUUUCAUAGUUUUGCACUUUUAUAGCCUAUUUUUGAAGAUUUAACACAUUUGCAAGAUGAUUGACUUGAUCUUUGCCUAAUCCAAUGAGUGUUACAGAAAGCUCGCUGUGACUAUAAAUGUAAAUCUUUAAAAGGGGAUACGAGAUAAUAGAGGGCUGAAAUUUAAACCUGUAUUUAAAAAAAAAAAAUCACCAAAUCUAUUUGAAAACAAGUCAAUUCAUGUCAUGCUGAAAUUUGGGGGGGCUUUCAGAUUUCUCUUUUCUAACCACAUUUCUCAAUUUCUGCAUACAUAAAAAUGUCCUUUUUUCCACAGCCCUUGUCCUCCAAUUUUUUUUUUUUUUUUUUUUUUUUUUUUUUGUCCAUCAGUAUUAACUAUUGGGAUACUACUGGUUUUGUAUGUUUUUUUUUUCCUUUGAGACAACAGUACAUAUAAUAGAGGUACAAUCCGUUGGAUUUUUGUUUAUGUAUUUAUUUCAUUCCAGUUUGAUUUAUUUUAAUUGUUGAUACUUGUCAAACAGUAGACAUUACUUGUUUUAUUUAUGAUAUAUUUCAGCUUAAAGUUAUGUUAUUAUAUGUGGA